UACAGAGGGUGCGAGCGUUAAUCGGAUUUACUGGGCGUAAAGGGCACGUAGGUGGUCGUAUGAGUGUGAUGUGAAAGCCCCGGGCUCAACCUGGGAAGUGCAUCGCAAACGAUACGACUGGAGUACAUGAGAGGGUGGCGGAAUUUCCAGUGUAGCGGUGAAAUGCGUAGAUAUUGGAAGGAACGUCGAUGGCGAAGGCAGCCACCUGGCAUGAUACUGACACUGAGGUGCGAAAGCGUGGGGAGCGAACAGG
This 253-nucleotide ribosomal RNA is filed under the name uncultured bacterium. Its description in RNAcentral is "partial 16S ribosomal RNA". It matches the Rfam family "Bacterial small subunit ribosomal RNA", at positions 524 to 776 of the family's 1533-position model. The record is from RNAcentral.